Long non-coding RNA from Triticum aestivum (bread wheat), 6739 nucleotides. RefSeq lists it as uncharacterized. The transcript is spliced from 5 exons. The record is from RefSeq and is a predicted model, not a curated record. NCBI's taxonomy places the organism in Eukaryota, Viridiplantae, Streptophyta, Magnoliopsida, Poales, Poaceae.
CGCUCCAUCCCCGCCCUACCGCCUCCUCCCCUCAUCGCCGCCCCUCGCCAGCCGUCCGUCCUGCACGCAGACUCUCGCUGCCGACCCUGUCUAGUCUGCCCACAGACCCUCCGCUCCCUCCCCGCCGUCCUUCACUUCUGCCCCUGCCGCCCCUCUCUCUUGCAGCGGAGCAGAAGCGGAAGCGCCGGGAGAAGAUCAACCGACGAUUCAUUGAGCUAUCCACCGUCAUCCCCGGCCUCAAUAAGAUGGACAAGGCGAUGAUCCUUUCGGACACCAUGAAGUACGCAGUAGCAGGAAAAUCUCAAGGCACUCGAGGACGCAACGUCCAGCUCCAGAGCAUCCAGUCCGCGGUGCUCGUCAGGAAGUUGUGCACAGCUGCGCCGGAAGACGCCGGCGGCUGCUGCCUGUCAUCUUCUGCAGCGGCCGUAGCUGGAAGCACGACGCCGACGACCGGGAAAGUGCUGCUGGAGGCGAGAAGGACAGCUGGAGUCGCCGCCGUCGCUUAUGGAGCUCCACACCAUUGCCCAGUUGUACAAUAGUAUGUGCAAUCUUCUCCAUUCAAGACUAAGUGCAAAUGGUGAACUCUUGCCAAACAAGAAGAUAUGAGGAUCAGGCAUAUAGGCCCCCAUAAGGAACAUGGAGAGAUGAAUCUGGGCGAUUGUAGCCACAAGGUAAAUUUGCUACAUGGGAAGAUUCCUCAAUGGCAACAAUACACCAUGAUAGUGAUAAUGAUAUACAUCCUAUGCUGAACAAGAGCAAGACAGAAAAGAGUAAAAGAUUCUCUCCGAAGUAAUUACGGAUCCUUCCAGUGAUUUUCAAUUCCAAGUAAUAAAGAAUAUAAGGUUACAAUUCAUCACCUAAAAAAACAGAUCUUUGUAGUCAUAGUAAUGUCUUCUCCAAUUGACCAUACCCUUAAGCAUUUGAUGAAAGUGGAUAUAUCAUCAAGAGCCUUGCAAGCAAAUUUAUCUACAAUAGGAAACACACGAUGAUGACAUAUCAGUUAUUCCAAAUCACCAUAUGAAAUGUUUAAUGUUUACUUCCCCUUGUAACGUUAGCUUAUCUAGCAAAUAUCUGUUAUUCUAUACAUCUGAUUGAUAAGUUUCAAAUAGUACAGGAACCAGAUAUCCAGAUAUAAUUAGAGUAGGGACCGACAUUAAUUAAACCUCUUGACAUGCUCAUUUGAAAGUCAAGUAUAUUUAUGCAGCAAUGCCUUAUUAGUCCUACAGAAGAUACCAUUACUGCUGCUCAUAGGAAGAGAUAUUACACCAUCAGUUGAGUUUAGCUAAAUCUGCAGUUUUCGUUACAAUGCAUGAAUCUUAUUUAUCUUGCUUCAAAUGAACAAACAAGAGAGGAUGAAGUACCCAUCUUCCAGUCAUCUGGCAAGCAACAGUCCAGUGCAUAUUGCAGACCUUCUUAGCAAGCAUCAUCGAGUGCCAUUGUAUCUUGAAUAACACAAUUGUACAGGGAUCUUGAAUAGCACAUCAAACAGAGGCACGCCUAAUUGAAAUUACAUUGGUACAUUAGUACACGGUAAACUGCACAAUACGAAUUAAAAUUUAAGUGCAAAGAUAGGAUAAUCCAGAGUUGACACGAAGUAAUGUCGAAGGACUAAGAUCAAAUCAGAAUUAAUCCUGACAGUCAAUACAGCAAUGAGAAUUCAUUUCACAAUAACAUAGCUCAUACCAGUGGAGGCAUCGAACUGUGCCCAUAUAUUUUUGCGCACCCACGCCCGCUCCUUGUUGUCUUGUUGCGGGCAUCCGCGCUGGGUCGCCCGUGAGCAUGCUGAGCUCGAGCGCAUCCUUCGGCACUUCGGCGAGCGGAUUCGAAGAGGGACGGGGAAGAGCAGGGGCGUGGAAGUCUCGCACCUCCGACGGAGCCUAGCGCUGGGAUGCUCCCGUGCAUGCCGAGCUCGGGGACCUCCUCGGCCACUUGGGCGGCCGGAUUCGACGAAAAGGCGGGGAAGAGCAGGGGUUGCAAACCUCUUGCUGGCGGUGGGUACGAAGGGGAGGGGUGGCCCGAGGAGGCGGGGAGAGGGAGCUGGCGACGACCAAGGAAGAAUGGGGAACGACGGGGAGAAAUGUGAGGGCCGGUGGGAUAUUUUUUUUUUUUGAGGUGAAGCGGUGGGUGAGUAGGUAGGUGACGGUCCAUUGAUAUGGGCCAGAAAAUUACCAAAAGUCCGAUCAAUCCAGCCAGCCGUUCGUCUGAUGCCCGAUGCCUUAGCGCUCGGCUGAGUUUCCUGCUAUUUAGCGAUUGCGUUCUUGAAUCGGAAACCAAGCUAGCUGCUAGGUAGGCAACGAAUGAAUCAUAUCCAAAAUUAAAGUAUUUGUAAAGGUGUAGUUAGAUUUCAGUUGACUUAGACUAAGUUGAGUGAUAUUAGCAUGUUUUUUUUUUAAAUCACCUUUUUUAUUUGGAUUUAUGUUUUCUAAAUUUGAAUACAUGAAUAUAUUUGUCAUUUUUUCAAUCGAGACUCAAUAAUUAUUUUUAUCUCUCUAAAAACAAUCCAAUAUUUUAUUAUCCCUCUAAAAAUAUAAUGAAGACCGAGGAGGAUCUCCUCGAUAAAAAUUACCUAUGUACAUUAAUAUCAGACAUUUUUCAGUUUAGUUUACAGAGGGCGUAGUACAUAAUGUUGUUUAGUUGUUGUUUUUAAAAAAAUAAUGUAACAAAUUAUAAUAAAAUUAUGUGAUCGUGAAGUUUUUGUGAAGACAUGUUUGUCGGUUGUGUAUUACACGCGCGCUCUUAUUGUUGGGCAUGAGACAUAUUUCGAUGGCUCGGUUACUAAAAAUAAGAUUUAAAAUGGAAUUUUAUAAAUUAUGAUACGUGCGUUGCACGUGCACGCUUACUAGUAUAUAAAAGCUUGCAUUCUUGAGUCAGGUUGCAUUUACUCGCCAGUGGAAACAUAGCUUGAGUUUUUCUUAUAGCCACUGAAGUCUGAUAUCUGCACACAGCAAUGUCCACAUGAUCAAGUUUGCUGAAACAAAAUGUCUCUGCACACAACAUUGCUAGUGUGAUAACAUUUGCAAAGUAAACUUAUCACUACAAGGUCAUAUAAACAAUCGAGUUUAUCUUGUUAAUCCUUCGGAACCAAAAGUAGCGAUUGCAAAAUGAUGGUCUAAAUUGACAUUCACCAGUCUACAUGCUUUAUUUUGCCCUCUUCUAAAUCAGCAUACCCCUCUUGUGUACUUGACUGAGGACUACAAUUACGAUGUACACAGAUGCUUAUUAUGACCGAUCCCUCUCUAUGCGCCUUAGUUUAUAUUCAAUCUCAAGCUGGCCAACACGAAUCUACAAUAAAAGUGAAUGCAGUUACUUCUUCGGCUACUCGGUAUGAUGCUGCGACUCAAGUCAUAAUACUGGAAAAUACAUGGUCGCCUCCUCAUUUCAUCACAUAAUGCUACCGGUAGGCUGAAAUCAUGAUGCUAGCAAAUACUCCCUCCAUCCCAAAAUAAGUGUGUCAACUUUGUACUAACUUUGUACCAACUAUAUUAAAGUUGGUACAAAGUUGAGUCACUUAUUUUUGGAUGGAGGGAGUACAUGGUUGCCUCAUCUCAUCAAAUAAUGGUAGUGGUAUUAAAGCAAUUAUCUCCCAAGACUCAAGUAUGAAUCCACACAAAUGGCAAUUGAGACCCACUAUCAGUUUCAUUCGCCAGCAGGGAUACAUGAACGGUGCUAUCUUCAGACGUAUUUUUAGAAAUCAAUACAAGAAAGUGCACAACUUAGCUAGGAACACUACUUCUUCCAGAUCCUUCUGUAUUUCUUGUAUGAAUUAUUGUGAUGUUUCUUGCCCAUUCAAUCAUGUUUUUAGCAGUGACAUGUAUUAACAUAACAAUCUCAAAUGUAAUAUGUUGCUCACAAGAAAUAUCCCUAGAGGGAGCUUCUCCUUAAAAUAAUAUUGCAAAUGAUAAUAUUUUUCUGCCAAUCUUACUGGAAACCAUAAUCAUGAUAUGCAAACGGCAACUUAUAGGGAGUGAGAACAGAUACCUAGGACCUUUAGUUGUGGAAGGAAGCAACAUUGGUGGUGGCUCCCACGUCCUUGGAGAAAGUGAAAGAAGGACUCCCAAAUUUCCUUGUUCAUUGUUCGAGGGCUGCUUGGAAGGGAGGUACUUUAAAAAUUAGUCAACAAUAAUACUUGUGCUAUUUGAUUCAUAUCAACUCACUGCACAACAAAAAAUUGCAAUAAAAACAGAGAACAAGAAAAUGAGUAUUCUUAUUGUGGUAUCUAGAAACUUGUUCUCCCAGUGGAAAACCUGCAUGCAUCGAAACAUAGGACAUCCUGGUGAACAAUUCGAAUAAUAUUCUUAUUGUAGUAUAGUAAGAGCAGAACAUAGGAUACAAACCUGUAGGGUUGGACUUUUGCAUUGCAGAGACUACAUGUGCUUAUACAAGUUCUUAAACCUCCUAGAAAAAGGUACUUGCAUUGGACAAGGUAUCUUUAAUUAUGAUGUUUGAAGUUUGAUGACUCCCCGUAUUCUCGCUUUAAUCACCCACGGAGUUGUAAGAGGUUCCUGCAUUGGACGGUGCACCGAAAGAAUCUAAACAUUGGAAGUAAAAUAUUGUCUCCAGCCAGAUUACUAGCAGUUUACUGAUUCACUUUUAUGUAGAAGUUAUGUCUUGUAUGAGCAGAUUGGGGUGGGUAAUGGGUCAUAGAAAUUUCAACACUACAUCUAAGUGAUACAGAAUUAGCUCAUUAAAUAACUAUGGUUCCCAUUGAUGCACAAGAGAAUGGUCACAAAUAACAUGCGCGAAUGUAAUCAUCAUUCCCACCGCGUCUUGAUUACCAGUCACAAUAUGAUGCAAUGAAAAUUUGCAUGAAGGAACAAAACAAUUGAUGUUUCUGAUCUAACGCAAAAUAUGUAUCCCCUCAUUCAAGAAUGGCCAUCUUGAACCAUAAGGAUGUGCAGAUUCGCUAUUCUCCAACCCAAUGGAAAACGCUGAAGCUAAUCAAAAUCAGCAGCAGACGGCAGUCACCGCUCUCAUGACUUUUCACGGGCGCGACAUGAACAGCAAGCGUCAAACACCUCGCUGCAUAUGGAAUCAAAGGACGCAUGAGGGAAAAUAGGUACACCGGUAGCAGAGCGGCGCUCACCUCGGGGUCCUCGAGCGGCUGCGCGCCGGAUACCUCGUUGCCCUCAACGUCGAACCAGUCGACGGUCGGCACGGUGCGGAUCAGACGCUGCCUGGCCUCUCGGUGCUCCUCGUCCUCGUCCUCGUCCUCGUAGUCGACGUUGUCCUCCUCGUCCCCGGACUCCCGCGGUGAAGGGCGGCUCGGGUGGCGAAGGGCGUGGCGGGCGGCUCCGGCGGUGAAGGGCGUGGCUGGCGGCUCUGGCGGCUAACGGCUGCGAGAGGAACGGUGGGGCGGCGAACGGCGCGAGAGGAGGUGGAGGGGCCGAGAGGUCGAGGUCGUGCGGGCGGGACGAGAGGACAUGGGGCGAGCGUUGUUUGCUUUUUUCUGAACGGCGGGGCAGGGUUAUCGAUGGAAGGAUAGUUAGUGGCUUAAUGCGUGGUUUGUAGCGUUAGCCAUGGAAGUUUUAAGGGCCAUUAGAUCUUGUUGAUGGAUGGGUCUGAUUGUUUGGAUCUUCCCCCUCUCUUCUUUUUAUAGGGGUAGUAGAUGAACAACAUAUGGAUGGAAAACAUUCACCCAACGCGCUAGUUUACUUACUACUGCUUUAUUCUAGAUUAUAACAUGUAUGGAAACAUAUGGAAAUCCAAACAAACGAUUUAUUUUGUAGCAGCUUAUUCUAGAUUACAGCAUGUGAUCUUCCGAAGCAUACAAAGUGAUAAAUGAGAAAGGAGUUAUAUUGGUGUAACAAACAAUAGACAGACAAUAGUUGCUUCAGGGAACAACAAUACACAGCUCGAUGUUAAUCAUUUAUUAUUUCUAAUUGUGAAUAAAAAUGUGCUCCAUCAACAUGACAGUUUAAUUGAUGGCGUUUUGGUAAAAAAAUCUAUCUUAUUGACAACAUGGAGUUUUUGUGACGACACAACCCCCAGAUAGAAUGCAUGAAUCUAACAACCGCAUCUGUUAUGUGUGACCUGAUAACCAUUAUAAAUUGUCCAGCUGUUCUGAAACAAGUAUGUGUGCUUUGUCCUACUAGUUGUGCUGCCAAGUUCUCAUAUGAAGAAACGGAAUGCUAGAGUAAGUGCUGAGAGAAUGGAGGAAACCAAAGAGAGCGGUAUUAUUUACGAACCAAGGCACGUCAUGCAUGACUGGAGAGUUCUUGGGUUUUGUUUUUGCAGAUUGUUGACUAUAUACAUACAAUUUUUGUUACAUUUUCAACCAUAUGGAAAAAGAAGGCAAUAGUAGCAAGGAGCUGCAGCAUAUUACAACCACAAUUACAUCUUUCGAAGAUACAUCAAUGGCUAGACGGCAAGCGACAAACGAGUUCUUACAAUAUCAAACAAUCUCUUUAAGACCAGAGAUGUAAGUCACAUGGCCAAGCAUAAAUAAAUGAAGAGAUCACGUACUUUUUUUGGAACUAACAAUGCUUUACAAUCACAGAGCACUAGCAUGUACCACUUAGCUAUCACCUAUUGUUGGUCUGAUCAUUUUAAAAUUGCACUAUCAUGGCUCAUAUCAAUGUUUGUUGCUUCCGGAGAUUAACUUCCUGGAAAUAAUUGGGAGAAAAGGACAUGUUGCCAUUGUUAUCAGUCAUCAUGUUUGUCUCCAGUUGUACAAUCAACAAAUGGUUGCCUUUUGUUCCUUCUCAAUGAAGGAAACAAUCUCAGUUCUAAAGACAAAAGU